This is a long non-coding RNA of Sceloporus undulatus (fence lizard), 1736 nucleotides long. RefSeq lists it as uncharacterized. The transcript has 2 exons. The record is from RefSeq and is a predicted model, not a curated record. NCBI's taxonomy places the organism in Eukaryota, Metazoa, Chordata, Lepidosauria, Squamata, Phrynosomatidae.
AUGAAUUGGAAACAUCUGAUGGUUCUAAAACCACUUCCCUUUCAAGAGGCAGAAUCACCUACAUGGAAACUUCAACAGGCUUAAAUAAAUAAGGCUUAAAUAUUCUGUUGACAGCAGGGCUGUUUUAGCAAUUCAGGUUUCCCACAAUCCAGAUAUGCAGACUUGUUUUGCCUGUGCCUGCAUCUCACUGACCAACUUGGCAAUCUGGACCAAACAGACCUUUGGUCAAUUUAACAGAGCGUGGAAAAGUUACUUUGAGGCAGGGUGGCGAGAAAGAUGCUAUAACCGCAAAGGAGGACGAGGCACCGUAAAAUGCAGGACACUCAAGAAAAACGUAGGAUAUUACAAAAUAAAGGCUAGAAGGAGUAAUGCAAGUAUAAAUUCAUACCUCUUAGCCAUGCUCAAAAUGGAUGGCAUUUUGGAAUUCUUCCUGGGGAGAAGGCUGAAAUGUAGGACGUCUCCUGGAAAGGAGGAUGUCUGCUCACGUCACGCUGCUUUGAGGAAGGCAGCAACUCUCAGAAUCUUUCUAAACAGUAAUUUUCCCAAACUUUCCCAAAGGUUGCAAUUUGAAUUACUUUGCCAGCAUAAGUGCCUGUAUCCCAUGAUCUAAGGUCCAAAACACACUGCACAAGUAAUCCAGUUUGACACCACAUUAACUGUCCUGGCUCAGUCCUAAGGAAUCCUGAGAAUUGUAGUUGAUUGUGACACCAGAGCUCUCUGACAGAGAAGGCUAAAGGUCUCACCAAACUACAGUUCCCAGAAUUCCCUAGCACUGAGCCAAGGCAGUUAAAGCGGUCUCAAACUGGAUUAUUCCUGCAAUGUGCUUUGGACCUUUGGGUCAUUUGUAGAGGCUGGUGGGUUGGAAAUGGGAGAAAAAAAGGCAAGAUGUAAAUGUACAGAGAAGAUCUGGUUGGGAAUUAGGUGUACAUCUAUUCAAGUAUAGUUUUUCAACAGUUAAUAGUGUGUUGUGGCAGCCAAAAAAAACCAAUGCAAUUCUAGGCUGCAUCCACAGGUCAGGAGUGUGGUGUCCAGAUCAAGGGAAUAAUGCCACUCUAUUGUGCUUUGCUCAGAUCUCACCUGGAAUCCACAUUACAAGAAGGAUGUGGACAAGCUGGAACAUAUCCAGAGGUGGCCAAAAUGGCGAAAGGUCUAGAUAUCAAGCCUUAUGUGGAAUGACUUACGACUUUGGUAUGUUUAGUGUGCAGAAAAGAAGAUUGAGAGAUGAUAUGAUGCAGUCAUCUUUAAAUAACAAGACAUGUCUUGUAGAAGAAGGAACAAACUUGUGUUCUGUUUUUCCAAAGUCUAGAAACACCAACAGACGGCUUGAAAUGACAAGACAAGAGAAUCCACUUAAACAUUAGGAGAAGAAAAGACAGAGCCCAGGGCAGAAAUAGCACAGGAGGAACUUCAGAGUGGAAAAAGGAAAAGCUGGGCAAAACCAACUGUGACAGAUUUCCCCACUGUGUCUUCUCCAUUUCUGUACCGUCAUGUGCCAAAAACAGACAAGGAACAUCCCACCCCUACUCAGAAAUUGAACUUCUACAGAUCCUAGGAAGAGGCCUUAACCCUGAAGGAUGAGAGGCAAUGCCAGUAAUAACCUUUUAACAAGAUACCUCUCAAAGGCUAAAAACCGGGGCAAUAAAUUAAAAGGGGCAUGUACCAGAACUGUAACUUCUGUUCAAAACAGAGCUCCUUUUUCCUUCUCUUUACUAAACUCCCUAUUAUGUGAUUGUAAA